This 562-nucleotide ribosomal RNA is filed under the name Saccharomyces cerevisiae (brewer's yeast). Its description in RNAcentral is "eukaryotic LSU rRNA". It matches the Rfam family "Eukaryotic large subunit ribosomal RNA", at positions 70 to 648 of the family's 3401-position model. Lineage: Eukaryota; Fungi; Ascomycota; Saccharomycetes; Saccharomycetales; Saccharomycetaceae. The record is from RNAcentral.
CGGGAUUGCCUUAGUAACGGCGAGUGAAGCGGCAAAAGCUCAAAUUUGAAAUCUGGUACCUUCGGUGCCCGAGUUGUAAUUUGGAGAGGGCAACUUUGGGGCCGUUCCUUGUCUAUGUUCCUUGGAACAGGACGUCAUAGAGGGUGAGAAUCCCGUGUGGCGAGGAGUGCGGUUCUUUGUAAAGUGCCUUCGAAGAGUCGAGUUGUUUGGGAAUGCAGCUCUAAGUGGGUGGUAAAUUCCAUCUAAAGCUAAAUAUUGGCGAGAGACCGAUAGCGAACAAGUACAGUGAUGGAAAGAUGAAAAGAACUUUGAAAAGAGAGUGAAAAAGUACGUGAAAUUGUUGAAAGGGAAGGGCAUUUGAUCAGACAUGGUGUUUUGUGCCCUCUGCUCCUUGUGGGUAGGGGAAUCUCGCAUUUCACUGGGCCAGCAUCAGUUUUGGUGGCAGGAUAAAUCCAUAGGAAUGUAGCUUGCCUGUAAGUAUUAUAGCCUGUGGGAAUACUGCCAGCUGGGACUGAGGACUGCGACGUAAGUCAAGGAUGCUGGCAUAAUGGUUAUAUGCCGC